RNAcentral lists this long non-coding RNA (322 nucleotides) under Daucus carota (carrot). Its description in RNAcentral is "long non-coding RNA (DCAR_LNC000957)". Lineage: Eukaryota; Viridiplantae; Streptophyta; Magnoliopsida; Apiales; Apiaceae. The record is from RNAcentral.
UUAGAUAUAGUGUUUACUUGGCCGGAAUUAGAGUUGGUAAGAACAGACAUAGUUACGACGGCCUCCUGCUAUUGCAAAAUAUACAAGUCACAACUUACACCCUCUCUGAUGGGUUUCUAAAGGUUGGUUCUUAGAAGGUCUUCAACAACCACAAAAGAAUUCUGAUCCCGAAGCUCAAGACAUUGACUUUUUGGGAUAUUUCUUAAACAUAUACUCCUUAAAGAGGGGGUCUUCCUCCUUUUUGUACAUCUGGAAUAGUUGCCUGUAGUAAUUCCUUGCUAGUUUUCGGCACUCGUCGAUGCCUUUGGAGUCAUAUUGCUGC